UACAGAGGGUGCGAGCGUUAAUCGGAAUUACUGGGCGUAAAGCGUGCGUAGACGGUUAUCUAAGUCGGAUGUGAAAGCCCCGGGCUCAACCUGGGAAUUGCAUUCGAGACUGAAUAGCUAGGGUACGGUAGAGGGAAGUGGAAUUUCCGGUGUAGCGGUGAAAUGCGUAGAUAUCGGAAGGAACAUCAGUGGCGAAGGCGGCUGCCUGGCCCAAUACUGACACUCAGGUGCGACAGCGUGGGGAGCAAACAGG
Molecule: ribosomal RNA, 253 nt
Filed under: uncultured bacterium
Lineage: Bacteria
Description: partial 16S ribosomal RNA
Rfam family: Bacterial small subunit ribosomal RNA
Source: RNAcentral